This is a non-coding RNA of Paramuricea clavata, 288 nucleotides long. The record is from the annotation of a GenBank genome assembly. Lineage: Eukaryota; Metazoa; Cnidaria; Anthozoa; Malacalcyonacea; Plexauridae.
GAAAGCAGUCUUGCUAGCUCAGAAAAGGUUGUAGCAGUUUAUAAAUUUAUCGAAGCCAUAACAAAAAUCUCGUCCAUGGACAAAACUCUCGCUCAAGACGUGUGUACCCGUGUUGUGGCAGAGACGUUUGAAGAUGAAGACGCUAUUAGUGUUCUCCAAGCUUUUGCUACAAUAGAGAAAUGUUUACCCUCUGUUCGAGGGUGCUACAUAUCUCAUGUAAAGAAAAUAUUAACACCAGAGCUGAUAAAGAAGUCAAGUCACUUCCUUCAAGAAUACUCAAGCAACAGG